AACGAAAACACUAAAAUUAAUCAUAUAUAUGAUCCUUCCACUAAAUGUUUUGGCAACAUGACUCUCUAAAUCAUGAUAAAAAGAAAUGUGCCAAUGCAUUAGCAAAACAUCACAUGACAUGUACAUGAAAACAUGCAAGCCAUCAACCACUAAACAAGCCAUCAGGAGCUUAACAAAGCAUGCUUAACAGGUGACACAAAAAAGGCAUAUGAAUAAAGAAAACAAAAUGUUUAGCACUUCAUACUAAUUUUCCUAAUUCAAAACAAAAAUGCAGACCAUAGUAAAUUCCAUCUGCAGAUGGAGCAAACCUUCACUGCACGUAGUAUGCUAGUGCAGAGCAAGUCAAAUAUGUAAACAUCUGUAAAUAGGAUCAUAAACAGAACCAUGAAGGAUAGCGUACCUGGAUCCAUGGAUUUUCUGAAUGAUCAACACUUCUUUUUCUCCCUCUUGACCCCCUGUUCAAACAC
RNAcentral lists this long non-coding RNA (467 nucleotides) under Phoenix dactylifera (date palm). Its description in RNAcentral is "long non-coding RNA (PDAC_LNC002813)". The record is from RNAcentral. Lineage: Eukaryota; Viridiplantae; Streptophyta; Magnoliopsida; Arecales; Arecaceae.